Mycena latifolia is the source of this 95-nucleotide non-coding RNA. The record is from the annotation of a GenBank genome assembly. NCBI's taxonomy places the organism in Eukaryota, Fungi, Basidiomycota, Agaricomycetes, Agaricales, Mycenaceae.
GACCCAGUGGCGGACGGUCCGCGUCUGCCUUCGUUAAAUGUACCCAUAUUGUGGUUCAACAGCAGAAGGCGCCCGUUCGACUCGGGCCUGGGUCA